CAGUAGCCGCGGUAAUACGAAGGGGGCUAGCGUUGUUCGGAAUUACUGGGCGUAAAGCGCACGUAGGCGGAUAUUUAAGUCAGGGAUGAAAUCCCAGAGCUCAACUCUGGAACUGCCUUUGAUACUGGGUAUCUUGAGUAUGGAAGAGGUGAGUGGAAUUCCGAGUGUAGAGGUGAAAUUCGUAGAUAUUCGGAGGAACACCAGUGGCGAAGGCGGCUCACUGGUCCAUUACUGACGCUGAGGUGCGAAAGCGUGGGGAGCAAACAGGAUUAGAUACCCCAGUAGUCCCUGUCUCUUAUAC
RNAcentral lists this ribosomal RNA (301 nucleotides) under uncultured bacterium. Its description in RNAcentral is "partial 16S ribosomal RNA". It matches the Rfam family "Bacterial small subunit ribosomal RNA", at positions 509 to 807 of the family's 1533-position model. The record is from RNAcentral.